Molecule: long non-coding RNA, 328 nt
Organism: Hydra vulgaris (swiftwater hydra)
Lineage: Eukaryota; Metazoa; Cnidaria; Hydrozoa; Anthoathecata; Hydridae
Source: RefSeq, a predicted model, not a curated record
AGAAUAUUUUCCAUCAAUUUUGUGACCUCCAUGAAUAUAAAGGGCAAAGGUGGAAAUAUGCUUUAAGAGCACUAAUUUAUACGGUGUAGUGAAAGUUCAUGUAAUUUUUUCAAAAUCGAAUAUGCGGAAAGGAGCUGUUUGGAAUGAAGAUUUACAAAAAGAAGUAAUUCCAUCUAAUUGGAUUAGUGUUAAAACUGUCGGCUUCCAGGUACCAAAACAUUGACUGCACUAAAAUGCAGAGAAGAAUUGGCUAAAGUUUAUACAAAUAAAAACUAAAUUCUCUUAAGAGUAUUUUCGAAAAGUUAUAUGGCCUCCAUGGAUAUGAAGG